Apis dorsata (giant honeybee) is the source of this 417-nucleotide long non-coding RNA. RefSeq lists it as uncharacterized. The record is from RefSeq and is a predicted model, not a curated record. Lineage: Eukaryota; Metazoa; Arthropoda; Insecta; Hymenoptera; Apidae. The transcript is spliced from 2 exons.
AAUUUUAAUAUCGAUGAGCCUAAAAUCGAAAUGAAACACUUUCGUAUAUCGAUAUUUUAAAUCUUUAACGAAACAAUUUUAAAUUUAUCGCAGUUAACUGUGGAACAUACGUCGUAAUGUAAAUUUACAAUUUAUUUAAAAUAGUGUUUAAUAAAAAAUAACGUGGAAAAAGUGUUCAGUGCAAAUAUGUUAUAUGUGAAUUAUGGAAUAAACACUUUAAGCUACGUUAUAUCAAGUUUUCAAUUAUUUUUAGACAUCAAAUUUAAAAAGAAUAAACAAAACGAAAUAGAUUGCGAAACAUUUGACCUGAUCUAACCUCGAAAGGAUUUCGUGUCGCAUCGCAUAAGUGACAUCUCUCGAGAUAUCUGGCCCAUAGUGCCAAAAGGAUUAAUCGUCUCGACGUUCGUCGGAUAAAGG